GACGAACGCUGGCGGCGUGCUUAACACAUGCAAGUCGAACGGAAAGGCCCUGCUUGCAGGGUACUCGAGUGGCGAACGGGUGAGUAACACGUGGGUGAUCUGCCCUGCACUUCGGGAUAAGCGUGGGCAACUGGGUCUAAUACCGGAUAGGACCGCACUUUAGUGUGUGUGGUGGAAAGUUUUUUCGGUGUAGGAUGAGCUCGCGGCCUAUCAGCUUGUUGGUGGGGUAAUGGCCUACCAAGGCGGCGACGGGUAGCCGGCCUGAGAGGGUGUACGGCCACAUUGGGACUGAGAUACGGCCCAGACUCCUACGGGAGGCAGCAGUGGGGAAUAUUGCACAAUGGGCGCAAGCCUGAUGCAGCGACGCCGCGUGGGGGAUGAAGGCCUUCGGGUUGUAAACUCCUUUCGCUAGGGACGAAGCUUUUUGUGACGGUACCUAGAUAAGAAGCACCGGCUAACUACGU
Molecule: ribosomal RNA, 464 nt
Filed under: uncultured bacterium
Lineage: Bacteria
Description: partial 16S ribosomal RNA
Rfam family: Bacterial small subunit ribosomal RNA
Source: RNAcentral